Molecule: transfer RNA, 61 nt
Filed under: Kingella denitrificans
Lineage: Bacteria; Pseudomonadati; Pseudomonadota; Betaproteobacteria; Neisseriales; Neisseriaceae
Also listed under: 10 other names
Rfam family: tRNA
About the family: Transfer RNA (tRNA) molecules are approximately 80 nucleotides in length. Their secondary structure includes four short double-helical elements and three loops (D, anti-codon, and T loops). Further hydrogen bonds mediate the characteristic L-shaped molecular structure. tRNAs have two regions of fundamental functional importance: the anti-codon, which is responsible for specific mRNA codon recognition, and the 3' end, to which the tRNAs corresponding amino acid is attached (by aminoacyl-tRNA synthetases). tRNAs cope with the degeneracy of the genetic code in two manners: having more than one tRNA (with a specific anti-codon) for a particular amino acid; and 'wobble' base-pairing, i.e. permitting non-standard base-pairing at the 3rd anti-codon position.
Source: RNAcentral
GAUAGCUCAGUCGGUAGAGCGACGGACUGUUAAUCCGCAGGUCGCUGGUUCGAGCCCAGCU